CGCAUCUGUGCAUGCAGCAUAUCAAUAAGCGGAGGAAAAGAAACUAACAAGGAUUCCCCUAGUAACGGCGAGUGAAGCGGGAAGAGCUCAAAUUUGAAAUCUUAAAGGGUUUCCCUUUACGAAUUGUAGUUUAAAGAAGUGUUUUCUGUUGAGGUUUUGGUAAAAGUUCUUUGGAAUAGGACAUCAUAGAGGGUGAGAAUCCCGUAUUUGACCUUUACUUUCAACUUUGUGAUACACUUUCAAAGAGUCGGAUUGUUUGGGAAUGCAGGUCCAAAAUGGGUGGUAAAUUUCAUCUAAAGCUAAAUAUUGGUGAGAGACCGAUAGCGAACAAGUACCGUGAGGGAAAGAUGAAAAGAACUUUGAAAAGAGAGUUAAACAGUACGUGAAAUUGUCAAAAGGGAAGCGUUUGACACCAGUGUUGUUUUUCUGAAAAUCAAUUAAAGAACUGUUUAUGCUAAGCUGUUUAGACUUUAUCAGCUAUCUGUUUAGUUUUGAGCUUUUCUUUAAUGCACUUUUCAGUUAACAAGUCAACAUCAAUUUCUUUUGCUGUAAAAAAGCUUGAGGAAGGUGGCUUGAGAUUCGUCUUAAGUGUUUAUAGCCUCUUGCCUAUGCAGUCGGAGAGAUUGAGGUCUGCAGCGUAGAUCCUUCGGGGCUAAAUGCAUUUGUGCUAAGUUAUAGCAUUUUAUAGACAACUUGUUGACUAUGAUUUGUCUUGUAGCUUACUCGCUUAUGUUAUUUUACCUACGCUUAGGAUGUUGAGUCGUAGAGCACGCAG
RNAcentral lists this ribosomal RNA (775 nucleotides) under uncultured Neocallimastigales. RNAcentral's name for it is "partial large subunit ribosomal RNA". It matches the Rfam family "Eukaryotic large subunit ribosomal RNA", at positions 26 to 628 of the family's 3401-position model. Lineage: Eukaryota; Fungi; Neocallimastigomycota; Neocallimastigomycetes; Neocallimastigales. The record is from RNAcentral.